GACGAACGCUGGCGGCGUGCUUAACACAUGCAAGUCGAACGGAAAGCCCCUGCUCCUCCCGGGUCCUCCAGCGCCCAACGCCCCACUAACCCCCGACUAACCUGCCCCCGACUUUCGGAUAACUCCAGGAAACUCCGGCCAAUACCGCACAGCAGCCCCUCCCCCAUGGCGGGGGUCGGAAAGUUUCGGCGGUUGGGGAUGGACUCGCGGCUUACCAGCUUGUUGGUGGGGUAGUGGCUUACCAAGGCUUUGACGGGUAGCCGGCCUGAGAGGGUGACCGGCCACAUUGGGACUGAGAUACGGCCCAGACUCCUACGGGAGGCAGCAGUGGGGAAUAUUGCACAAUGGGCGGAAGCCUGAUGCAGCAACGCCGCGUGCGGGAUGACGGCCUUCGGGUUGUAAACCGCUUUCGCCUGUGACGAAGCGUGAGUGACGGUAAUGGGUAAAGAAGCACCGGCUAACUACGUG
RNAcentral lists this ribosomal RNA (468 nucleotides) under uncultured bacterium. RNAcentral's name for it is "partial 16S ribosomal RNA". It matches the Rfam family "Bacterial small subunit ribosomal RNA", at positions 28 to 507 of the family's 1533-position model. The record is from RNAcentral.